GCUUAGAAGCAGCCACUCAUUUAAAGAGUGCGUAAUAGCUCACUGGUCGAGUGAUUCUGCGCCGAAAAUUUCCGGGGCUAAAACUUACUACCGAAGCUACGGCAUCAUUAUGAUGGGUAGGGGAGCUUUCUAUGCGGCUUGAAGCAUGACCGUAAGGACAUGUGGACUGCAUAGAAGUGAGAAUGUUGGCAUGAGUAGCGAGAUGUGGGUGAGAAUCCCACAGGCCGUAAACCCAAGGUUUCCAGGGGAAGGUUCGUCCGCCCUGGGUUAGUCAGGACCUAAGCCGAGGCCGAAAGGCGUAGGUGAUGGACAACAGGUUGAUAUUCCUGUACCACCAAUAACCGUUUGAGAAAUGGGAUGACACAGUAGGAUAAGCUAACCGCACUGUUGGUUAUGUGCGGGCAAGUAUUGAGGCAGUUCCGAUAGGCAAAUCCGUCGGAAUAAUGCUGGGGUACGAUGCGGAGCGAAAUUAAGUAGCGAAGUAGCUGAUUUCACACUGUCGAGAAAAGUCUCUAUCGAGGUUAAAGGUGCCUGUACCGCAAACCGACACAGGUGGGUGAGGAGAGUAUCCUAAGGCCAGCGAGAGAACUGUUGUUAAGGAACUCGGCAAAAUGACCCCGUAACUUAGGGAGAAGGGGUGCCUUCGAAAGAAGGCCGCAGAGAAUAGGCCCAAGCGACUGUUUACCAAAAACAUAGGUUUCUGCUAAGUCGCAAGACGAUGUAUAGGAGCUGACGCCUGCCCGGUGCUGGAAGGUUAAGGGGAUCUGUUAGAGCAAUCGAAGCAGUGAACUUAAGCCCCAGUAAACGGCGGCCGUAACUAUAACGGUCCUAAGGUAGCGAAAUUCCUUGUCGGGUAAGUUCCGACCCGCACGAAAGGCGUAACGAUUUGGGCACUGUCUCAACAACAGACUCGGUGAAAUUGUAAUACCGGUGAAGAUGCCGGUUACCUGCGACAGGACGGAAAGACCCCAUGGAGCUUUACUGUAGCUUGACAUUGAGUCUCGGUGCUACAUGUACAGGAUAGGUGGGAGACUAUGAAGCAUGGACGUCAGUCUGUGUGGAGUCAUCCUUGGGAUACCACCCUUGUAGUACUGGGAUUCUAACCAGAGGCCAUGAAUCUGGUCUUGGGACACUGUCAGGUGGACAGUUUGACUGGGGCGGUCGCCUCCCAAAAAGUAACGGAGGCGCUCAAAGGUUCUCUCAGUACGGUCGGAAAUCGUACGAAGAGUGUAAAGGCAAAAGAGAGCUUGAUUGCAAGACAUACAGGUCGAGCAAGGACGAAAGUCGGACUUAGUGAUCCGGUGGUUCCGCAUGGAAGGGCCAUCGCUCAACGGAUAAAAGCUACCCUGGGGAUAACAGGCUGAUCUCCCCCAAGAGUCCACAUCGACGGGGAGGUUUGGCAC
This 1403-nucleotide ribosomal RNA is filed under the name human gut metagenome. RNAcentral's name for it is "bacterial LSU rRNA". It matches the Rfam family "Bacterial large subunit ribosomal RNA", at positions 1104 to 2524 of the family's 2925-position model. The record is from RNAcentral.